Molecule: ribosomal RNA, 501 nt
Filed under: uncultured bacterium
Lineage: Bacteria
Description: bacterial SSU rRNA
Rfam family: Bacterial small subunit ribosomal RNA
Source: RNAcentral
GCUCGCGCUCUGGGAUGGAUCUGCGGCCCAUCAGCAGUUGGUGAGGUAACGGCUCACCAAGGCUACGACGGGUAGCUGGUCUGAGAGGAUGAUCAGCCACACUGGAACUGAGACACGGUCCAGACUCCUACGGGAGGCAGCAUGGGGGAAUCUUGCGCAAUGGGCGAAAGCCUGACGCAGCGACGCCGCGUGGGUGACGAAGGCCUUCGGGUUGUAAAAGCCCCUGUGGGGAGGAACGAACCUCCGGGGGCCAAUACCCUCCGGGCCUGACGGUACCUCUUUAGCAAGCAUCGGCUAACUCUGUGCCAGCAGCCGCGGUAAGACAGAGGAUGCGAACGUUGCUCGGAAUUACUGGGCGUAAAGCGCGCGUAGGUGGCCUUGUAAGUCUCGUGUGAAAGCCCUCUGCUCAACGGAGGAAGUGCACGGGAUACUGCGAGGCUGGAGUACAGAAGAGGACAGCGGAAUUCCCGGUGUAGAGGUGAAAUUCGUAGAUAUCGGGAG